Molecule: long non-coding RNA, 140 nt
Organism: Haliotis rubra (blacklip abalone)
Lineage: Eukaryota; Metazoa; Mollusca; Gastropoda; Lepetellida; Haliotidae
Exons: 3
Source: RefSeq, a predicted model, not a curated record
CUCAUCGUAUCCCAAUUGCGCAGAUGCAUAUUUCAGCCACUCCUAAACAGUCAAACUAAUGCAGAAUCAAACUUAGAGGUCCAUGGGAAUGUUUCUAGAUCUGUUAAUUGGCAGAUACUUGAUGGUUGGUUGGUUGGUUG